UCGUGUCGUGAGAUUGGUUGGGUUAACGUCCCGACAACGAGCGCAACCCUUGUCAUUAGUUGCCAUCAUUUUGGUUGGGCACUCUAAUGAGACUGCCGGUGACAAACCGGAGGAAGGUGGGGAUGACGUCAAGUCCUCAUGGCCCUUAUGGGUAGGGCUUCACACGUCAUACAAUGGUCGGUACAGAGGGUUGCCAACCCGCGAGGGGGAGCUAAUCCCACAAAGCCGAUCGUAGUCCGGAUCGCAGUCUGCAACUCGACUGCGUGAAGUCGGAAUCGCUAGUAAUCGUGGAUCAGCAUGUCACGGUGAAUACGUUCCCGGGCCUU
Molecule: ribosomal RNA, 326 nt
Filed under: uncultured Rhodocyclaceae bacterium
Lineage: Bacteria; Pseudomonadati; Pseudomonadota; Betaproteobacteria; Rhodocyclales; Rhodocyclaceae
Description: bacterial SSU rRNA
Rfam family: Bacterial small subunit ribosomal RNA
Source: RNAcentral